UGAGGCUUAUUGGAUGUUAAAUUAUAGGAGCCUCUAUCCCAUUGACUGAAUUUUUUUUUUGUGGGGGGAGUAAUCUUCUCACCCACAUGAAAGUAAGGAAUUCUUCCAUAAGCAUUUAAGUACUACCAUUAAGGGAACUCAAAGAGGUCAUUUACAAAAUAGCUCAUUUACCCUUCCCACCAAGAAUUUGUUGCUUUCAUUGAAGGGAGUGGUUUUUUGAGAAUUGGCUGGCCCGGCAUUAAGCUUAAAUCAUUUGCUUUCCAUCUUACUCCUCCUUUCCCUUGACCUUAUCUGGGAUUUUACUUUAUUAAUUAACUUGAAAAGUGCUUUCUAUAGGUAGCAUGAGUUUUUGGUUAAAAAACAGUUCGAAAAACACCCCCCAAAAUGUAGUGAGAAGAAAAUCAUUUGAAUUCCUAUCCCCCCCAGGCUUCUAGUUCUCUUUUCUAAAGACAGACUCUCAAACAAGCUUUUUCUGUUUUCCUAAGCUAUGUCUAAUUAAGUAUGUGUUACUAUAUAGCUGCCUCUUUUUAUACACACGGCACCAUAUUAUUCUGUGUCGUACCAUUUCUUUUCCACUUAAUAUUUCUUAAAGAUGAUUGCCUAUCUGUGUAGAGAUUUACUUCAUUCCAUUUACAUUUUACAAUAUUGAUAAAAUGUAUUCUAUUUUAUCUCUUUCUAGUGCCUGACGUGUGGCCAGAUCCCAGAAGAUGAGUUUCUCUAAGAAGAUCACAUGAACCAUCCCGAAAGGCCUGUUGCUUCGAAGCUCAGGAAUCCAGGGACCCCUUCCUAUUAUGCGAACUUCCUGGGCAGAGCUUCAGGCUACUCAGCGGAAUGUCUAUGGUUCUGUAGCUUCAAGAGGAGCCAGGAAGAUGAGCUUCCAAGCCAAGGGAAACACUGCUUCAGACUCAAGACCACGAUUUGGCAGAGACCACGGGGCCUGCUGAAUUUAGGAGAGGACUCAUACCCCUUCCUUACUCAAACCACUCUUUCCCACUAAAAGAGGAUGGAGGUGACCUAAGAAAUCUGCUUUAUUCACCAGCACACAGCAGUUGCUUGGGUGAAAUGGACUCCGGUCCCAUUUUGGUACAAUAGGAAAGGCAAGUGCCUCCCUCUCUAUCUGGGAAGAAAGGAGAAGGAAGCCAGAGUGGAAAUCAGACAUCUGAAGUCUCAGCAGCAGUCUUGGUCUGUGCUUAGACAAAUAAUCUCAAGGCGACCCAAAUCCCCCUGUUCGUUCUGAAAACAGACAGUGCCAGAGUGAAACAGAAUUAAAUUGUUUCUCUUUCAUGGCAGCUGAAGUGUAAAAACCAUUCUAUUCCGACCUUGUGGUCAGAAUAUCCUGACACCUCAUAAAUUAUCUUAAGGGGUCAGGGCUCAGGGAGGUUUGGGAAGGCUGCGAGUCCACACUGCAGCCAACGGUCUGCGCCGCACGGCAGCAGCGGGAGCGCCUCCUUCCUGGUCUUUCCGAUAGGCAGGCACCAAUGUGUAGGAUGUGGAGGAAUGUAGUGUCCUCAGAGCCAGUUUUUAUGAAUUGGGACAAGCAUUUGCCCUCCUUUUAUGCUUGUAGGAUUUGUAUGGCCACAGCAACUACCUUCAUGAAGGUUUUUAAGUAAGUGAGAAAAGCACAGUGAUAGCUUCCAUGUCGGACAGAAAUUCUAGGGUGGAUUUGUCUUAGCAGAAAAAAAGACAGGGGAGGGAUGGAGACAAUAGAGACAUAUACUUACACAAUACGAAGAACUAGAGAGAAAAAAAUGAAUCAAGGAGAAGAGAAAGGAAGGUGGGAAGGGGAAACGUGGGUGACAGAAAAGUUUUCUUGAUUCAGAUAUACACCCCCAAGCACACGCGCGCACACACACACUGUUUCUAACACACACUCUCUCUCUCACAACACUCUCUCUCACACACACACACUGUUUCUAACACACACUCUGUCUCACAACACAUUCUCUCACACACACACACACUGUUUCUAACACACACACUCUCUCUCACAACACUCUGUCUCACACACACACUGUUUCUAACACACACUCUGUCUCACAACACAUUCUCUCUCACACACACACACACUGUUUCUAACACACACACUCUUUCACAACACAUUCUCUCACACACACACACAUACACACACACACACACACACACGCCUCCUCAGCAGAGUGGAACUCUUGGACUUCUCUGCCUCCUGGUGAGUUUCUUUUAGCCCCCACAUUCAUCUGUGCCUUACACACAGUAGGUGCUCCAUAAAUGUUUGCCUAUUGGUAACAUCCACAGAUUGGUCCCCAGAGAGGGAAACAGAUUUAUUUUGGGAAAUUCCAAGUAUGUAAAGCAAAGUCAUUUGGAGCAAACAGUAUUCUGAUAGCUUGAACCACCAUAAGGUUGAAAGAAUCUGGGUAUUUGUGGGUGUGUCUGGACAUAUUGUGUGUGGGAGUGUGAGUGGGUGGUCUGGUUGGGUGGGUAAUAAGUGACAGGAGGGCCCUUGAAAAUAUAAAGGGCUCCAUAACUACUGUAAAAAUAAAACUGGGAAUAGCAUGCCCAGACCUCCAGUCAUGCGGUGAC
This 2556-nucleotide long non-coding RNA is filed under the name Macaca mulatta (Rhesus monkey). RNAcentral's name for it is "lncRNA (ENSMMUG00000039365.2)". Lineage: Eukaryota; Metazoa; Chordata; Mammalia; Primates; Cercopithecidae. The record is from RNAcentral.